This 366-nucleotide ribosomal RNA is filed under the name uncultured Streptococcus sp. RNAcentral's name for it is "bacterial SSU rRNA". It matches the Rfam family "Bacterial small subunit ribosomal RNA", at positions 1016 to 1382 of the family's 1533-position model. The record is from RNAcentral. Lineage: Bacteria; Bacillati; Bacillota; Bacilli; Lactobacillales; Streptococcaceae.
ACCCUCGGGUGACAGGGAGACAGGUGGUGCAUGGUUGUCGUCAGCUCGUGUCGUGAGAUGUUGGGUUAAGUCCCGCAACGAGCGCAACCCCUACGUUUAGUUGCUAACGCGUGAAGGCGUAGCACUCUAGCGAACUGCCGUUGACAAACGGAGGAAGGUGGGAUGACGUCAAAUCAUCAUGCCCCUUAUGACCUGGGCUACACACGUGCUACAAUGGUUGGUACAACGAGUUGCGAGUCGGUGACGGCGAGCUAAUCUCUUAAAGCCAAUCUCAGUUCGGAUUGUAGGCUGCAACUCGCCUACAUGAAGUCGGAAUCGCUAGUAAUCGCGGAUCAGCACGCCGCGGUGAAUACGUUCCCGGGCCUU